AGCCACCAGUGAGAUUCGAAGUCGCGACCCCUGGUUUACGAUACCAGUGCUCUAACCUCUGAGCUAUGGUGGC
Araneus ventricosus is the source of this 73-nucleotide non-coding RNA. Lineage: Eukaryota; Metazoa; Arthropoda; Arachnida; Araneae; Araneidae. The record is from the annotation of a GenBank genome assembly.